This 74-nucleotide transfer RNA is filed under the name Lunularia cruciata. RNAcentral describes it as "tRNA-Arg". It matches the Rfam family "tRNA". From Rfam's summary of the family: Transfer RNA (tRNA) molecules are approximately 80 nucleotides in length. Their secondary structure includes four short double-helical elements and three loops (D, anti-codon, and T loops). The record is from RNAcentral. Lineage: Eukaryota; Viridiplantae; Streptophyta; Marchantiopsida; Lunulariales; Lunulariaceae.
GCAUUCUUAGCUCAGUUGGAUAGAGCAACAACCUUCGAAGUUGAUGGUCACAGGUUCAAAUCCUGUAGAAUGCG